UACAGAGGUCUCAAGCGUUGCUCGGAAUCACUGGGCGUAAAGCGCACGUAGGCGGAUUGUUAAGUCAGGGGUGAAAUCCUGGAGCUCAACUCCAGAACUGCCUUUGAUACUGGCGAUCUCGAGUCCGGGAGAGGUGAGUGGAACUGCGAGUGUAGAGGUGAAAUUCGUAGAUAUUCGCAAGAACACCAGUGGCGAAGGCGGCUCACUGGCCCGGUACUGACGCUGAGGUGCGAAAGCGUGGGGAGCAAACAGG
RNAcentral lists this ribosomal RNA (253 nucleotides) under uncultured bacterium. RNAcentral's name for it is "partial 16S ribosomal RNA". It matches the Rfam family "Bacterial small subunit ribosomal RNA", at positions 524 to 776 of the family's 1533-position model. The record is from RNAcentral.